Long non-coding RNA from Carya illinoinensis, 2870 nucleotides. RefSeq lists it as uncharacterized. The record is from RefSeq and is a predicted model, not a curated record. Lineage: Eukaryota; Viridiplantae; Streptophyta; Magnoliopsida; Fagales; Juglandaceae. The transcript has 2 exons.
GCCAUUCCAUCAAAAAUACUAAAAUUUUUUGUUGAUUUAAGUUUUACAUUUUUUGUUGCCAAGAUGAAAUAUUCUCGUUCAUGAUCUUAUGCAAGAAUGCUUCCUCCACAUUCAGAUUCUUUUGUACUGCAAAUGUUUCCGUGAAUUUACCAAAUCAUGAUUAAUAUUAUCUUUCUCUUCUUAAAUAUGAUUACAACGUAGGGGAAAAUAUCAAUGGAGAAAGUCCUCUGGCUGAGUUUAAACUGGACCCACCCUUUCAAGCAACUUUAGCUGAGUUUUUGCAAUAUUAAAAAAGAGAAAAUCCCACAGCUUAACUCUUUUAUAAUUCCUAUAUCUGUUUCGGGAUUUAUUAAUUUGUCUUUCAUAAUCUAUAUAUUUGGAACCAAUCGAAGAAGUUUGAUUAAUAGAAGAGGUUUGAUUACUCUAAACGAAAGGUAGAUGAUAAAAGAAAUAAAAAAACACAAAUAAAGAAAGAUUAUAGUCUGGUAAGCAAAUUCCCCAAUAGUGGGUUUGGAAUCUUACCGGAAUUCAUCAUUUGCAAACCUUCAGAUAAGAUUUGAUUUUCCAAACCCCGAGUCUUCAGUAAGAACUGUCUUGAAUAGAUAAUCACAUUCUUCAUGAAAUGCAUUAGCCAUUUAUUUUGUAUUUCUUUUGCUCUGAAUCUCUCUGAUCAAGAAAAACAAAAGAAAAAAAAAAACUUUGAGAAGAAAAUGAAGAAGAUAAGUAUAGGGAAAUAUCUAUAUGUAUAUCAGUACUUUCAGCAGUACCUUUGGCAUUGUUUUUUGGAGGGUACAGAGUAUUUACAUGGGAAAACAUUGAGGAAAAGACAUCAUGGCUGUUUCCUGAUGUUAUCAGUAUCUGUGGUUGUCAUUAACAAGCAGGCCAAAUAUUAAUUUUCUUAUUAUAUAUUUAUGCUGAUGUGUCGAAGCUUGAUUAGAAGGUCUUCCCUCGUACAAAUUGAUGAUUUAGCUUAUUCAGAAGAAAUUAAUUUUGGUUUCUCUAAAAGUUGUUUAUUAGUGAUCAUAGUUAAUCAUUCCAUUGAAUUAUCUCACCUGAAACAUAUAUUUUUUUAACAGCAUAAUUUCUUAGAAGAAAAUGUGGCAAAAUAAAAGACAGUUUUUUGUCAGCUAAAGAAAAAAUCUCUUAAACUUCAUGUCUACUGAAGACCAAUUCGGUUAAACUUACCAAAAUAAAAAGAUUAACUAUUACAAUUCCAAUUUUUGAAGAUUAUGAAUAGUAGUGAGUUGAGAUGGGUCUUAGUGCUCAAGGAAGCUGCAAAAGGGCAAAAUUAUCAACCAGACUUUCAAGGACACUGUGACUUUUAUGCUACAUAGCUUGGACAGUGAAGAAUUAAUAGAGUUUGCAGUGGUGACAUGGAGUCUUUGGAAGAGGAGGAACAAUUUCAUCUUCCAAAAAAGAUUUCUUACUCCUAAUAGACUGCUUAAACAGAUAUCUCAAAGAAUACAGGACCUCAAAGCUAUUAAUCUGGCUUUUCCAAUUCAACAGACCCUUACCCCAGUGCAUAGAUGUGUAUGGGUUGCUCCUCCAAAGGCUAUCAUCAAGAUCAAUUGGGAUGUUGCAGUUGACAAGAACACUAGUAAAAUUUGCGUGGGAGCUGCUGCGAGGGACUGGGAAGGACAUGUACUGGCCACUAUGACGUUGAACAGAUCCCUUUUUUCCAGAUCCAUUUUUUGCAGAAACAUAUGCUGCCCUUCAUGCAACUAUUCUGGGGAUUGAGCUGGGUUUCAAGAGGAUCAUACUAGAAGGGGAUGCUCUUCUUGUUGUCAAGGCUAUUGAAAGCACAAAAACAACUUUGGAUAGUAAAGGCAUCCUCAUUUGUGAUGUUAAAAAAAUGCUUUGUUAGUAUGAUAGCUGGGCUGUUAAACAUGUAAGGAGAGAAGCAAAUGUUGUUGCUCAUCCUCUAGGACAAAAUGUAUUAUCUAUCUCUGAUGUCAUCAUUGACAUAGAGGAAAUUCCAUUUUCUAUUCAAUCUCUUUUAUAGAGCUUUUUUUUAUCAAUAAAAGAUUUUCUUCCCCUAAGAAGAAAAGAAUACGAGGCGCUUGUAACUUCUUGGAGUCUGUAUUCAUGAUAUAUUUUGAAAUUCUAGCAAUUUCUAUUUUACCUUCUGAAAAUAUGUUUUACUUGCACAAAUUAGUUCUCACAGAUCCCACACCUGCACAACUUUAAGUUGUUUAUCUGAGUUUAUGAUUAUGUUUUGUUUCUCAAGUUUUGGCUAGUUGUUGGUCUGUUUGUGGGAUUGGAAUUAGCUAUUAUUUUGGUUUCUGAUAUGGGUAUAUAUCUUUUGGAUGAUGCUUUUUAUACUUGCAGAAUGACAGAAGAAGUUGCGCUACAAGUGGAAAUAUAUGGGCUCCAGACAUGCCUACCCUGGGUUCCAUUUCCAGGGCUGCUUUUGAAAUAGAUGAUUAUACGAGAACCGUGGAAAUCCUGCACAAAAGGAUUCACUUAAAGCUGGCCAUGAGCAGAAAGGAAAAGAGGCUGUUGCAGAUGUGGAUGAUGUGGUGGCCAGUGCAGCACUUAGAGGCCUACAAACGGCCUUAUUCUAGCAAAGAUCAAAUACCUGCUUCAGACGAUUUCUAUGAAGUAUCCAAUGUUUGUAGAGAAGGCAAUGGAGCUGCUCAUUUAAUACCAACAACAGUUGCAGCAGCACCUCAUCUCUUCUUGAGCACUUGUACAUUCAAGAUUAACUCUUUCCUUUUAUAUGGGUACCUCUCUAUCUCUGAUGAAUAUUUCUUUUGAUCUGCGAUGCUUGCAGAUGGUUCAAAAGACCGUUGCAAAUUGUUGCAGCUUCAAAGUGCCAUCUGAAAAAUGAAUGUGCAAGUACUGCUGUCUUUGCCUAAACUUACCAUAAA